UAGUAACAGCGAGUGAAGAGGGAAAAGCUCAAAUUUUGAAUCUGGUGUCUUUGACUCCCGAGUUGUAAUCUAGAGAAGUGUUUUCCGCGUUGGACCGUGUACAAGUUCCCUGGAACGGGGCGUCAUAGAGGGUGAGAAUCCCGUAUAUGCCACGGACUACCAAUGCUCUGUGAUACACUCUCAACGAGUCGAGUUGUUUGGGAAUGCAGCUCAAAAUGGGUGGUAAAUUCCAUCUAAAGCUAAAUAUUGGCGAGAGACCGAUAGCGAACAAGUACCGUGAGGGAAAGAUGAAAAGCACUUUGGAAAGAGAGUGAAACAGUACGUGAAAUUGUUGAAAGGGAAGCGUUUGAAGUCAGUCAUGUCUGUCGGGAUUCAGCCUGGCUUCUGCCUGGUGUACUUUCCGUCCGACGGGUCAGCAUCAAUUUCGAUCGAGGGAAAAAGACGUGAGGAAUGUGGCUGUCUUCGGGCAGUGUUAUAGACUCGUGUUGUAUGUCUCGGUUGGGAUUGAGGUACGCAGCGCGCCUAUUGGCCGGGGGUUCGCGCCCCUCGGUACGCGCUUAGGA
This 563-nucleotide ribosomal RNA is filed under the name uncultured Sebacinales. RNAcentral's name for it is "eukaryotic LSU rRNA". It matches the Rfam family "Eukaryotic large subunit ribosomal RNA", at positions 81 to 612 of the family's 3401-position model. The record is from RNAcentral. Lineage: Eukaryota; Fungi; Basidiomycota; Agaricomycetes; Sebacinales.